AUGGCUCAGGAUGCUGUCGCUCUUAAUGGACUGAAUUACGAGAGUCAUAUGCAGUUUAGGAGGUCCGUCGUACCGAUUCUUAUAUAUCGUCGUCAACAGAAAGAGGAACAGGAACAUGAAGGAGAAGAGGAACAGGAACCAGAGCCGGAACCAGAACCGGAACAGGCAAAUCCAAAUGACCCAAUUUCUGUUGUUCCGGGCAUAGUCACUGUCGCUGGUGAGACAUUUUGCCACAUCAUAGCAAAUAAGAGAUUGCUUUUUACCCGUCGUCGAGGCAGGUAUAGAUUUGAAAUUGCUUUCCCCAACAUGAACUUAGACCUUGACAACCUCAAUGUGGAAAGACAUGGCUUGUUGGCUGCUUUCUACUGCCCUGUUCCUGCUGGAAUUGUAGAUGCCGUGCAUUUCAGCAAUCAAACUGCACAGAACCAAAAACUUAAGAUGUAUGGAUAUCAGAUUAGUGCAUCAGGACAAGUACAAAGGGAUCUAAUAAUGGCUAUCUGA
RNAcentral lists this ribosomal RNA (501 nucleotides) under Triticum aestivum (bread wheat). Its description in RNAcentral is "partial small subunit ribosomal RNA". Lineage: Eukaryota; Viridiplantae; Streptophyta; Magnoliopsida; Poales; Poaceae. The record is from RNAcentral.